Molecule: long non-coding RNA, 1080 nt
Organism: Rosa chinensis
Lineage: Eukaryota; Viridiplantae; Streptophyta; Magnoliopsida; Rosales; Rosaceae
Exons: 6
Source: RefSeq, a predicted model, not a curated record
AGAUUGGGUUCUGAUACUGUUUUGAAAUACUAUUUACCAUAUCUGAUUACUCAUGUUUAUUUACGGGUGUUUAUUGGGUUGUUGAAUUUGGAGUUUGAUGUGAUUCAGUUUAUAAGAGAUGUAAGAUAAAAGCAACGAUUUUCUUUUCAGCUAUUGGAAUUAUUGGGUUUUGAUAUGGGGAGGAAGGGGGUGAAUUUGGGUGGUAGGGAUUUCCAUAAGCAUAUCAAAAGAGGCAGCUAAUACAGUUCGAGAAGAAUCUUAGAACUUAGAAAAGAGCACAUCAGUUGAUAGCAGAAAAGAAGUUUGUCUCUUUCUGUUUUGAAAUCGUGAUUGUCCCAAUAUUUUGAUGGCUUGGAGAUUUAUUUGUCUGGUAUGAAUGUGAAACAAGAAUCAUUUACAAAGUUCCAGUGGUGAUCAUGUGCUCAGAGAACAUCCUCAGUUGAAUCGAUAGAAAAGCAGCUUCCAAGAGCCGUACUUGAAAUCAAGAGCCCAGUUGUGUUCUGAUCAUCAUUAUUAUAUCCUCAGGCUGUUGAGAAGGCUUCACAAACUGAUAAGCUGUUUGUGCUUCUCCAAACAACAUUCAUAAUUUUCCAAAUUAUAGAGUCCAUGCCACCAUUGAAGAUCCAAACAGUGAAGCCACAGUCAAGCUUAGAGGAAAACCAGCUGAACAAUUGUUUGGAAUGACUUGCAGAGAGAACUCAUAAACAGGUACCCUUAUGCUCCACAGGAAACAUUGCCAGAAGAAAUAUUGCAAGCAAAAGGGCAAAUUCACAUUUUCCUAAUCCAAAUCAGUGAAGCAAAUGACUUCAUAGUGAAAGGUAUCUUUCCAAGCACAAAGAAUCAACCUAGUGCCAGCACACCAGCUCAUCCACUGCAUAUGACAAAAACAGAUCCGUCAAUAAAGGAAGAAGACAACUAUUUGCUACCAAUCCAGACAGCUUAUAGGAAGAUUGUGAAUGUUCUGAAUAUGGGUCCUCGACCUAAAUUACGUAAAUUUCAAUUCCCAUGACAAUGUGAUAUCACAAUUUGAAUCAAAGAUGCACAUAAGAGCUGAAGUUUUGACCUUGCUAAGGCAUAAUA